This 234-nucleotide ribosomal RNA is filed under the name uncultured bacterium. RNAcentral's name for it is "partial 16S ribosomal RNA". It matches the Rfam family "Bacterial small subunit ribosomal RNA", at positions 118 to 347 of the family's 1533-position model. The record is from RNAcentral.
UGAGGAACAUGACCUUCGGCGGGGGAUAGCCGGCCCAACGGCCGGGUAAUACCGCGUACGACCUUCCGGGGACAUCCCUGGAUGGUGAAAGCAGCAAUGCGCCGAUGGAGUGCCUCGCGGCCUAUCAGCUAGUUGGUGAGGUAACGGCUCACCAAGGCAACGACGGGUAGCUGGUCUGAGAGGAUGGCCAGCCACAUUGGGACUGAGACACGGCCCAGACUCCUACGGGAGCAG